GUCAGCAGACACUUUCCAGCCAAUCAGCAGCAGACCCUCCCUCCCAGACCCUUCCACCUCCUGGACAGCAUCCAUUUUACAUUCAUUGUGAAGCUGCAUUCUUAGUGAGCUGUCCAGGAGGUGGGAGAGUCUGGGAGGGAGGGUCUGCUGCUGAUUGGCUGGAAUGUGUCUGCUG
This 175-nucleotide microRNA precursor is filed under the name Pelobates cultripes (western spadefoot toad). Lineage: Eukaryota; Metazoa; Chordata; Amphibia; Anura; Pelobatidae. The record is from RNAcentral.